Molecule: ribosomal RNA, 441 nt
Filed under: uncultured bacterium
Lineage: Bacteria
Description: partial 16S ribosomal RNA
Rfam family: Bacterial small subunit ribosomal RNA
Source: RNAcentral
CCUACGGGUGGCAGCAGUGGGGAAUAUUGCGCAAUGGGGGCAACCCUGACGCAGCAACGCCGCGUGAUUGAAGAAGGCCUUCGGGUUGUAAAGACCUUUAAUCGGGGACGAAUUUUGACGGUACCAGAAGAUUAAGCUCCGUCUAUCUACGGGCCAGCAGCCGCGGGAAUCUGUAGGGAGAAAGCGUAAUCAGGAUUUAAUGGGUGUAAAGGGUGUGUAGGCGGGCAUGCUAGCUAGAAGUGAAAUCUGGGGGUUUAACCCCCGAACUGCUUUUGAAACUGCGUGUCUUGAGUGAUGGAGAGGCAGGCGGAAUUCCCGGUGUAGCGGUGAAAUGCGUAGAUAGUGCGAAGAACACCAGUGGCGAAGGCGGCCUGCUGGACAUUAACUGACGCUGAGGCGCGAAAGCGUGGGGAGCAAACAGGAUUAGAUACCCUUGUAGUC